GCGACAAAAGAUCUGCUAAAACAUGAAUGAAAAAUACAUAACCAAUUCUACAAUAACUACCUAUAUUGUGAGCUAGGGUUGGCUGUAGAAAUGACUAGAGAUGGCCAAUUUGAUUGGAAAAAGUAUGAGAAUUCAAAUUAUAGAUUGGGGAUUCGAAUGGCGACAAAAGAUCUGCUAAAACAUGAAUGAAAAAUAUAGAACCGAUUCAACAAUACCUAUCUAUACUGUUAGCUAGGGUUGGCUGUAGAAAUGGGUACAGAAGGCCAAUUUGAUUGGAAAAAGUAUGAGAAUUCAAAUUGGGUAGGAGAUAUGAGGCCACCGGAACCACUAGGGUUGGCUGUAGAAAUUGCUAGAAGUGUCCAAUUGAUUGGAAAAAGUAUGAGAAUUCAAAUUACAGAUUGCGGAUUCGAAUGGCGACAAAAGAUCUGCUAACACAUGAAUGAAAAAUACAGAACCAAUUCUACAAUAACUACCUAUACUGUGAGCUAGGGUUGGCUACAUAAAAGUCUAGGAGUGUCCAAUUUGAUUGGAAAAAAGUAUGAGAAUUCAAAUUACAGAUUAGGGACUCGAAUGGCGAGAAAAGAUCUGCUAAAACAUGAAUAAAAAAAAUUGAAUCGAUUCAACAAUACCCGUCUGUACAGUGAGCUGUGGUUGGCUAGAGCAAAGGCUAGAACUGGACAAUUUGAUUCAAAAGAAUAUGAGAAUUCGAAUGGACACAACAGAUCUGCCAAAACUUGAAUCAAAAAAAUAAACUAAUUCAACAGUACAUGUUUGUACAGUGAGCUAGGGUUGGCCAAAGCAAAGGCUAAAACUGGCUAAUUUGAGUGGAAAAAGUAUCAGAAUUCAAGUUAGAGAUUGAGGAUUCGAAUGGACAAAAGAUCUGCUAAAAAAGAAAUCAAAAAAAAUGAACCGACUCAACAAUAAAUAUGUGUACCGUGAGCUAUGGUUGGCUACAUAAAAGGCUAGAAGUGGUCUUUUUGAUUCAAAAAAGUAUGAGAAUUCAAAUUAGAAAUUGAGGAUUCGUAUGGACACAAAAGAUCUGCUAAAAAAUGAAUAAAAAAAAACUAAACCGAUUCAAUAAUAAAUGUCUGUACCAUGAGCUAGGGUUGGCUACAUAAAAAGCUAGGAGUGUCCAAUUUGAUUGAAAAAAGUGUGAGAAUUUAAAUUAGAGAUUGAGGAUUGAAUGGACACAAUAGAUCUGCCGAAACAUGAAUCAAUAAAACUAAACCGAUUCAACAAUACAUGUAUAUACCUUGAGCUAGGGUUGGAUACGUAAAAGGCUAGGAGUGUCCAAUUUGAUUGGAAAAAGUAUGAGAAUUCAAAUUAGAGAUUCAGGAUUCGGAUGGACAUAAAAUAUCUAUCAAAACUUGAGUCAAAAAAAUUGAACCG
This 1389-nucleotide long non-coding RNA is filed under the name Prunus persica (peach). RNAcentral's name for it is "long non-coding RNA (PPER_LNC004987)". The record is from RNAcentral. Lineage: Eukaryota; Viridiplantae; Streptophyta; Magnoliopsida; Rosales; Rosaceae.